AUUUUUCAGUGUUUAAUGAAGAUGGAAACAACAGAAUGUUAAAUGAAGAUGUCAACAAUAGAAAUGCUGUCAUAAUAGGUGUAGUUAUUGGAAUUGUAGGAUUGGUAAUCAUAGUCGUCGUUAUUUUUCUCAUAAAGCGAAGAUCAAUUUGCCAGACUUUCCAGCACACGUCACAACAAAGGCGUCCAUCAGUGGUUGAAAAUGACAAUGAAUUAUACCAAAUUUCACACUGAAUACAGAAUUUUUGAACGUUAACUUAGUUAAAUUCCUGUGCAUCUGUUCAUUGAUACGAUGGUGUAAAAAUGAAAUGCUGUGUGUAAUGGGUAUAUUUCCUUAAUAAGACCAACAAGUAGAAGAGGAGCAGAUUUGCGUAUCUAUUUAUAAUAGUUAAUUGAAUACUGAUGUUUUUUUCUUACUUUUAUUUUUAUUGUCAUCUGAUGAA
Molecule: long non-coding RNA, 442 nt
Organism: Mytilus trossulus (common blue mussel)
Lineage: Eukaryota; Metazoa; Mollusca; Bivalvia; Mytilida; Mytilidae
Exons: 4
Source: RefSeq, a predicted model, not a curated record